UCAAACUUGGUCAUUUAGAGGAAGUAAAAGUCGUAACAAGGUUUCCGUAGGUGAACCUGCGGAAGGAUCAUUACAGGAUUAUAUAACGAGGAAGGAGGUGGUCUUCGGAUCCCUUCGUCUUCAAUCCAAUCCAAACCCCUUUGUGAACCACCGCGAGGACUAGUACGAGGCCUUCUCUCAGGUCUUGGAAAGUUCACGUAUAAACCUAUAUACCCCAGUAUGCAUGUCUCAGAAUGUACCUUUGCGUUGAUCGCAAUAAAAUACAACUUUCAGCAACGGAUCUCUUGGCUCUCGCAUCGAUGAAGAACGCAGC
RNAcentral lists this unclassified non-coding RNA (313 nucleotides) under uncultured fungus. RNAcentral describes it as "partial contains small subunit ribosomal RNA, internal transcribed spacer 1, and 5.8S ribosomal RNA". The stretch from base 1 to 73 matches the Rfam family "Eukaryotic small subunit ribosomal RNA", at positions 1759 to 1831 of the family's 1831-position model. Lineage: Eukaryota; Fungi. The record is from RNAcentral.